UGCCAGCCGCCGCGGUAAUACGAAGGGGGCUAGCGUUGUUCGGAAUUACUGGGCGUAAAGCGUACGUAGGCGGAUUGUUAAGUGAGGGGUGAAAUCCCGAGGCUCAACCUCGGAACUGCCUUUCAUACUGGCAAUCUUGAGUCCGGGAGAGGUGAGUGGAACUCCUAGUGUAGAGGUGAAAUUCGUAGAUAUUAGGAAGAACACCAGUGGCGAAGGCGGCUCACUGGCCCGGAACUGACGCUGAGGUACGAAAGCGUGGGGAGCAAACAGGAUUAGAUACCAUGGUAGUCCACGCCGUAAACGAUGGAUGCUAGCCGUCGGGGAGCUUGCUCUUCGGUGGCGCAGCUAACGCAUUAAGCAUCCCGCCUGGGGAGUACGGUCGCAAGAUUAAAACUCAAAGAAAUUGGUGG
RNAcentral lists this ribosomal RNA (410 nucleotides) under uncultured Rhizobiaceae bacterium. RNAcentral's name for it is "bacterial SSU rRNA". It matches the Rfam family "Bacterial small subunit ribosomal RNA", at positions 506 to 916 of the family's 1533-position model. The record is from RNAcentral. Lineage: Bacteria; Pseudomonadati; Pseudomonadota; Alphaproteobacteria; Hyphomicrobiales; Rhizobiaceae.